This 621-nucleotide long non-coding RNA is filed under the name Rattus norvegicus (Norway rat). RNAcentral describes it as "long non-coding RNA NONRATT015509". The record is from RNAcentral. Lineage: Eukaryota; Metazoa; Chordata; Mammalia; Rodentia; Muridae.
UGAGAUGUCCUGCCAGCAGAACCAGCAGCAGUGCCAGCCCCCUCCCAAGUGCACCCCCAAGUGCCCUCCCAAGUGCCAGACACCAAAGUGCCCUCCAAAAUGCCCCCCUAAAUGUCCUCCCAAGUGCCCCCCUGUGUCUUCCUGCUGUAGCCUGGGUUCUGGGGGCUGCUGUGGCUCCAGCUCUGGGGGCUGCUGUGGCUCCAGCUCUGGUGGCUGCUGCAGCUCUGGGGGUGGAGGCUGCUGCCUGAGCCACCACAGACCCCGCAGAUCUUUCCAUCGCCAUCGCCACAGCUCUGGAUGCUGUAGCAGUGGUGGCAGCAGUGGCUGCUGUGGCAGCAGUGGAGGCUGCUGUGGCAGCAGUGGUGGCAGCAGUGGCUGCUGUGGCAGCAGCUGUGGUGGUAGCCAGCAGUCUGGGGAUUGCUGCUGACCUGAGCAACUAACACAUUAGAUAAGCCAUUCAGGAGGAAGCCAUGUUCAGAAGACCUUCCCUGGCUUGUUCUACUCUCCUGCUGCCCUCUGUGUCUUGGGCUCUACAAUGCUGUAAUCCUGUGAGAUGUUUUGAAUGUGCUCUUUUAAAGGGUCUGUCUUCUUGUGGACAAAAUAAUAAAGUGCUUCCCUAAC